Molecule: ribosomal RNA, 1500 nt
Filed under: Escherichia coli
Lineage: Bacteria; Pseudomonadati; Pseudomonadota; Gammaproteobacteria; Enterobacterales; Enterobacteriaceae
Description: partial 23S ribosomal RNA
Rfam family: Bacterial large subunit ribosomal RNA
Source: RNAcentral
AGUACCCCGAGGAAAAGAAAUCAACCGAGAUUCCCCCAGUAGCGGCGAGCGAACGGGGAGCAGCCCAGAGCCUGAAUCAGUGUGUGUGUUAGUGGAAGCGUCUGGAAAGGCGCGCGAUACAGGGUGACAGCCCCGUACACAAAAAUGCACAUGCUGUGAGCUCGAUGAGUAGGGCGGGACACGUGGUAUCCUGUCUGAAUAUGGGGGGACCAUCCUCCAAGGCUAAAUACUCCUGACUGACCGAUAGUGAACCAGUACCGUGAGGGAAAGGCGAAAAGAACCCCGGCGAGGGGAGUGAAAAAGAACCUGAAACCGUGUACGUACAAGCAGUGGGAGCACGCUUAGGCGUGUGACUGCGUACCUUUUGUAUAAUGGGUCAGCGACUUAUAUUCUGUAGCAAGGUUAACCGAAUAGGGGAGCCGAAGGGAAACCGAGUCUUAACUGGGCGUUAAGUUGCAGGGUAUAGACCCGAAACCCGGUGAUCUAGCCAUGGGCAGGUUGAAGGUUGGGUAACACUAACUGGAGGACCGAACCGACUAAUGUUGAAAAAUUAGCGGAUGACUUGUGGCUGGGGGUGAAAGGCCAAUCAAACCGGGAGAUAGCUGGUUCUCCCCGAAAGCUAUUUAGGUAGCGCCUCGUGAAUUCAUCUCCGGGGGUAGAGCACUGUUUCGGCAAGGGGGUCAUCCCGACUUACCAACCCGAUGCAAACUGCGAAUACCGGAGAAUGUUAUCACGGGAGACACACGGCGGGUGCUAACGUCCGUCGUGAAGAGGGAAACAACCCAGACCGCCAGCUAAGGUCCCAAAGUCAUGGUUAAGUGGGAAACGAUGUGGGAAGGCCCAGACAGCCAGGAUGUUGGCUUAGAAGCAGCCAUCAUUUAAAGAAAGCGUAAUAGCUCACUGGUCGAGUCGGCCUGCGCGGAAGAUGUAACGGGGCUAAACCAUGCACCGAAGCUGCGGCAGCGACGCUGAUGCGUUGUUGGGUAGGGGAGCGUUCUGUAAGCCUGUGAAGGUGUGCUGUGAGGCAUGCUGGAGGUAUCAGAAGUGCGAAUGCUGACAUAAGUAACGAUAAAGCGGGUGAAAAGCCCGCUCGCCGGAAGACCAAGGGUUCCUGUCCAACGUUAAUCGGGGCAGGGUGAGUCGACCCCUAAGGCGAGGCCGAAAGGCGUAGUCGAUGGGAAACAGGUUAAUAUUCCUGUACUUGGUGUUACUGCGAAGGGGGGACGGAGAAGGCUAUGUUGGCCGGGCGACGGUUGUCCCGGUUUAAGCGUGUAGGCUGGUUUUCCAGGCAAAUCCGGAAAAUCAAGGCUGAGGCGUGAUGACGAGGCACUACGGUGCUGAAGCAACAAAUGCCCUGCUUCCAGGAAAAGCCUCUAAGCAUCAGGUAACAUCAAAUCGUACCCCAAACCGACACAGGUGGUCAGGUAGAGAAUACCAAGGCGCUUGAGAGAACUCGGGUGAAGGAACUAGGCAAAAUGGUGCCGUAACUUCGGGAGAAGG